UACGGAGGGUGCAAGCGUUAAUCGGAAUUACUGGGCGUAAAGCGUGCGCAGGCGGUUUGUUAAGUCCGUUGUGAAAGCCCCGAGCUCAACUUGGGAAUUGCAGUGGAUACUGGCAGGCUGGAGUACGGUAGAGGAAGGUGGAAUUCCCGGUGUAGCAGUGAAAUGCGUAGAUAUCGGGAGGAACACCAGUGGCGAAGGCGGCCUUCUGGUCUGUAACUGACGCUGAGGCGCGAAAGCGUGGGGAGCAAACAGG
RNAcentral lists this ribosomal RNA (253 nucleotides) under uncultured bacterium. RNAcentral describes it as "partial 16S ribosomal RNA". It matches the Rfam family "Bacterial small subunit ribosomal RNA", at positions 524 to 776 of the family's 1533-position model. The record is from RNAcentral.